GAGGAGGAGGAGGAAGAGGAGGAGGAGUAUAAAAAGCUGCUGCUCUCUUUCAGUCGAGUUUAAAUACACUUAAGUUUCACCUGAUCAGAGCUUUCAUCAACCUGCGGAUUACCGACAUGCUGCAGCGGUCAACUGUGUUGCUGCUCUUUGCGCUUGUUGCUGUUUCACUUGCAGCUCCAGUCCAGAAGAGAAACUCAGAAGAUGAGAGAAUUGUGCCUCUGUUGGAGCACCUGAAUGGUGGCAGGACAAGUGAACCUGUCACAACAGAGCCAGG
This is a non-coding RNA of Neolamprologus brichardi, 274 nucleotides long. The record is from RefSeq and is a predicted model, not a curated record. Lineage: Eukaryota; Metazoa; Chordata; Actinopteri; Cichliformes; Cichlidae.